Molecule: long non-coding RNA, 777 nt
Organism: Biomphalaria glabrata
Lineage: Eukaryota; Metazoa; Mollusca; Gastropoda; Planorbidae
Exons: 2
Source: RefSeq, a predicted model, not a curated record
UAGGUUUACUUCCGUAACUUAUUAGUUGACAGAAAUUAGAUCACGAUGAGGUGUGGUUUAUUGAAAUCUGUAGUGUAUGGGUAUGGUUAAAAAAAAUUGAUUUGUAAACUAAGGUGCAUGAUAUUAACAAAGAUACAAUUCGAAAUGAGCUACGCAUUAUUAAUAAAGGUAAACAAUUUGACGAAACAACUCGCAAUUAAAUUUGAGACAGGUAUUUUUUUUCAAGGUCGGCCAUGUUGGAUUCUUGUUGACGCUCAAAAAUGGUGUCACCUGUCUCUAGCCUAGCCUAGUAAGUAGACUACUUCUGCCGCAUACAGCACACACAGAAAAUAUGCUUCUGAACUAUUCUUCAUAGCCAUCUGACUUUAUUCUUCGCUGACAUCUGCUAAGCAAGCCUAAUAAAAAGGCAUGAAAGAUAGAGGACAUGUUCAUUUAUCAAGAACUUGAUUUGUUUUACAUAUUUCUGAUGUUCUGAAGAUAAACAAACAAAAAACAAACUCCCAGGAUGGCAGGGACUGGCAGUAGGCAGGGUUCAAAUCUUUGAAAUCACAUGACCAUGAAGCCAUCCCUUGAGAUCCAUGCUGCAGGAACUCAAUCAUAAGCUUCACAAACAAACAACUUUCAUUGAAUAGCAGACAACAGAUAAGCACUUGACAAAGAAUUUAUGUUCUUCUCGAAACAAAAACAUUUUAUUAUAAAUGUAAAAAAAUUAUUUAUUUUGUUUACAAAAGUCAUGUAACAAACAAACAAAACAAAUAAAAUAAAUGUACACACAUA